GCAUAUCGGUGGUUCAGUGGUAGAAUGCUCGCCUGCCACGCGGGCGGCCAGGGUUCCGGCAGAUGCA
Non-coding RNA from Cordylochernes scorpioides, 67 nucleotides. The record is from the annotation of a GenBank genome assembly. Lineage: Eukaryota; Metazoa; Arthropoda; Arachnida; Pseudoscorpiones; Chernetidae.